Syngnathus typhle (broad-nosed pipefish) is the source of this 382-nucleotide long non-coding RNA. RefSeq lists it as uncharacterized. The record is from RefSeq and is a predicted model, not a curated record. The transcript is spliced from 4 exons. Lineage: Eukaryota; Metazoa; Chordata; Actinopteri; Syngnathiformes; Syngnathidae.
CCUGACUACAUAGACACCGAGACCGUCUGUCCGUCCGUCCGUCCUCCCUCUGUGACUGUGUAUGCGGCUGAGCGCAAAUGAAAGGAUGUCGGAGACACAACUUUCCAAAAUCAAAUCUGCCAAAAGCUCGUCCGCCAUCCAUCCAUCCAUCCAUCUCUCCAAAUAACGAUAACUGCUCAUCAAGCUAAGACGUAUACCCAAGACUGGUUAGCAAGAAAAGACAUCCAAAGUUUUGGUCUUGGGUAUAGUAGGAGUGUUUCCCUGGCAGAAAAACAGUUUCACAACAAUGGAUAUGAGAUGGAUUCAAAUUUUAAGGGUUGCAGGAGUGACGGCGCGUGACUGAACUGGUCGCCGGCCAAUCGCAGGGCACACAGGUACAAGC